This 65-nucleotide transfer RNA is filed under the name Notodoris gardineri. RNAcentral describes it as "tRNA-Ile". The record is from RNAcentral. Lineage: Eukaryota; Metazoa; Mollusca; Gastropoda; Nudibranchia; Polyceridae.
GGGUAGACGCCGGUCUGAACGGGUAUCAUUGAUGUUGAUAAGCAUGGGGUUAGCCCCUCUACCUU